UUUGGGGGUUGGUCUUAUGGCCUCUUUGAAGGGAAUCAAGACAAUUCCUCAAUUGAGGGUCCCUUUUCAGUUGAUUCUAAUUAGUGGCAAGAUGCCUUUAAAACCAACCAUCACAAGUAGUAAGCACUGUGCUCUGUCUAGCAUAGCCUGAGCUGUUUUCCCUACAAGGUUCCCCAGCAAAUGACAGAGAUGGAACAGUGUAUUCUGCGACUUCUCCCAGGGAGAUGUGAAUAGAUAUCUAUCCACGUCGAGUAGAGGACAGGUGACAGACUAGAGAAGCCAUUCUACCCAGGGCUGUCUUGGUGGACCAGUGAGUUCAUUGGUGGUGGUGGGGGGGGGGAUGGGAGCACAUUUACAGGAGCAUCCGUGACUCGAAGGCAGAUGCUCCACAGCUUGGAAGAUGGCUUACAGAACCUGCAACAGGGAUCUCGCCGUGGAACUUGAAGUCAGUCCCACUGAGAAAGGAGAAAGUCCGACCUGCCCCUCCCCCCACACAAUGAAAGCUUCUAGAAUCUUGGGGAGGGUCUCUGUAAGUAGUGUAGAUUUCAGGCACUUACCUCCUGAGACUCGUAAGUUUUGUUAGCUUCCAGAGUCUUAACGACCCUCCCUCCAGGAGGAAAUGGUUCAAUUUGGAGAGAACAGCGUGAGCGGAGCUUUAUAACCAGACAACUGGCUUCAGAAAUGGGCCUGACUCUUUGAUACAACCUGAGGGUAACCUGGGCAGUGUCCUGAUGGAAGAAAGGAGACCUUGGUGCUGAGCCUGAGUGUUUCCUAGAUGCAUGAUGAGGAACUUCCCUUCCUAACAGAGAGAACGCUUCUGGAGGGAGAAGGGAUACAAGAAAGUGCAGUUUUCACUUAUAUUGUGAAAUGUGAAAAUAAAGUCAUCAGCUCUUUUAAAAAAAAAGACUUAUAAGGCAAGCCACAUAAAAAGACAGAAUCUUCUACAACCUCAUAACCUGCAUGAAGAAAUACCUCUUGGACACCAACAGAUCUUAUACCUGAGAGGAAUAAGUGUAUAUAGAGUUUAACAUAUGGUUAAGAAAACAGUGUUGUGAGACUUUUCCUAGGGAGAUGUGAACAAAGAUGUGUUCACCCCAGAUAGGUAGUCAAUGACAGACUAAAGUUGUCUAGAUGAUGAGUUCAUUGAAUUCCAGCUCAGUGAACCGGUGAGUUGAAGGAGUGUGCUUACAGACUGUGGAUGACAGAUCGCCGACAGGAGGAUAGAUGACUCAAAGACAGCUGUGCCAUCAGAAAGUCCACUACAGCAUCACUGAUGACUCAUAGAAGCUGCAUCCCUGGGUUUUACUAAGGACUUGUAGGCAGCUUGGCUGACCAAGAUAGUCUUUUUACCCCAGUAGUCGUUUCUGUUUCAAUAACUUUGGAGAGGGACCUUUCGAUUACUGUUUCAGGAACUUCCUGAGACUUGUUAAAUGUUUUCUUCCUGGGGGAUAAAUUUUGUUUGCCUUCAGACGUUUAAGGAACCUCUUCUAUGGAGGGGAAAUAGUGGCAGAACAGACAAGUAGUGACAUCUCAAGAGUAGCGUCAUGGAAGGACACAUUUAGAAGGAAGCAAUAUGGGAAUUCAUGGUAGGCAAAGAAUUUACAAGCAACAGUAAAAUUGUCUCUUUUGGUAUCACCUUUCACCAACGAUUCUCAGUACUGUCAGUUAUAUUUAGUAUUUCUAAAUCUUUUAUUGGUUUGAUUUCCAGACGUUUGUGUCAGUAACUCUUGAGGCUUAGCGAUGUGUAACUAUCCGAGUGGCUUAUAAGACCAUGUUUCUGAAAUUUCUAUACAGAAUUUAACCAGAGCCACACUUUGCAUCAGAUUUAAUGAAAUGUCAGGUAAAGGAAUGCAGUUGUCUUCCACGGACACAGAUACUGGACUAGAGAUUUGGGGGCGGGGGAUAAUGCUGUGUUUCUAUUUGGAAAAUAUACAACUUUGUAUGAUAGCACUAUUGUAAUUGAGUUAAUAAAGUAAACAUAUUCCCCCCCCCCACUUUUUGUACCACUAUUUAUUCCUGGAUGGAUUAGAACUUGUUAUGUAAGCCAGACUGGUCUGGAACUCACAGAGAUCCACUUGCUUCCAGAAUACUGAGAUUAAAGUAAAGAUAUGUACCACUUUUUUUUUUUUUUUUGGUUCUUUUUUUUUCGGAGCUGGGGACCGAACCCAGAUAUGUACCACCUUAUCAGGAAGUAGAUAUCUUUAAAUCAUUUAAGCUAUUCUAUAAUGUAGUAUACAUGAGCUAUAGUAUACAUGAGCAAGAACUUUUCUGAGUCCUUGAAUUUUUAAUUUUUAAACCUAGCCUGAUGCCCAACAGUGCCAGCCCAGUUCCUCAGUAGACUCAGUCAGGAGGAUUACAAGUUCAAGGCCGGCAUGGGGAGGUUAAUGCGACCAUCCUGAAAUAAUAAGUAAAGUAAAGGCCAAGGGCAUAGCUCAGAAUCGGAGUUCUUGCCUAGAAUCUCUCCUUAAAGGAUAGGGAUGUGACUCGAAUGUAGAGUGAUUGCCUAGCAUCCCCCUGGAGGGGCUAGAAGCAUGGCUGAACAGUGGAUGCUUGUCUAGCAUAUGUGAAAUUCUGGAUUCAGCCCUUGGUGCUGAAUUUUUUUUUUAAAGAUGUUUUGAAUUGGCCAAAGAGAUUUCCCAAAGGAAGAAGUAUGAAGAAAUUCAUAUCCAUGUUCUUCAAGUAUGAAAACCUGGAACAUUGAUGUUUUGGAGAUUAAGGUCAAAGUUAUGGAUGGUCCCAAUAAAUAAGAUGAAUGUAGUACACCUAAACACAUGUCUGGGGCAUAGUGGUGAUUUGCUUUAAUAUGCGUCUUAUAAGAAUGGUAUGAUAACUCAGUAGGGCCUCUGAGCAGUCUUUGUCACAGUGAACCUAUCUUGAAAAUAUUGUCAGCCUUCCAGGUCACAGUGCAUCCUUGGGGAGAGUGGGGAUAGGAACUAAAGCAGAAUCCACGAUGGCGGCUCUCAGAUGCAUGUUUAGGUAGCUUUCUUACAGCCUGGGUUAACCAGCCUGAGGAAUGGUUCUGCCCACAGUGGGCUGGGUUCUUCAACAUCAAUUACUAAUCAAGUUAAUCUCUUACAGGCAUGUCCACAGAAAAACCUGAUCUAGGUAAUUCUCUUGAGGCUUUUCCGCUCAGACGACUCUAGGCUCUGUCAAGUUAACAGUUAUAGCUAACCAGGACACCAUGGGGCAGCGUCCCUGGCACCCAUUUCCAGGUAUUUGUGAGGUAAAGUUCUGGUCUAUAGGAGCAGGAACUAGGAGCAGAUUGAGUCUGUGAUGGCUACUUUUGAUUAUGGACCUGACUACAUUUGGAAUCAACUAAAACCCCAAAGUGGAGGGGCGCACCUGUGAAGGAUUUUUGCUUAAUUCGAAGUGGGAAGAUCCACUUCUAAUCCAGACCUUUGGAGGUGGGAAGACGGCAUUCAAUUCAGUUGCUUUCAGGCGGGAUGACUCAUCUCCAAUCUGGGCCACACUUUCUGUUCAAAGCCUGUAUAAGGACAUGGAAGAUGGAGGCUUUUGCUCUUCUCAUGCUUCUUCUUAGCUUGCUAGCAAGUCCAUUCCUUCAUUGACGUAACUGUUGUUGGACUGGUUGGACCACAGGAGACUCAUUCUGUAAGUUCUGUUACUCUUUAGUUUCACAGAAACCCCAACACAUACAGAGUUAUUGGCUCUUCUUGGCUUUAUUCUUCUUUGUUGCAGGGCUUCUUCUUGAUUGCUAACUAACAGGAUUGAGAUACACGUAGGAAAUCAGUAAAGCACACAUUUGGGGGGUGUCUCUCAUAGCAUGUCCAUCUUGGGGACUCUGGCAUAAUCAAUGGAUUAAUCCAUUAAAGGCAUUAUUGGGAGAUGGAAAUGUUGGGGGGUAUAGCCCAGUUGGAGGAAAUCGGUCAUUUGGAGGUAUAUUUUUGGGAUUAUAUAUUGUACUUUCUCCUUCCUUCAUUUCCUUGUUUCUUUGUUUCUUCCUUCCUUUCUUUCUUCCUUUUUUUCCUUUCUUUCUUCCUUCCUUCCUUCCUUUCUUUCUUUCUUUCUUUCUUUCUUUCUUUCUUUCUUUCUUUCUUUCUUUCUUUCUUUCUUUCUUUCUUCUCUCCCCUUACUAUUUUACUAUUUACCUCCUGUGCCAGAGUCUCUUGUCACCAUAACGUUCUGCCUGAAUGCAUGAGGUCAAGUGGGCAUGAAAUUAACUCUAAAACCAUAAAACAAAACAUAUCUUCCUUCACUUGCUUCUCUCAAGUGUUUUGUCACAGCUAUUCAAAAGUAGCCAACAUGUCUGCCUUUCAGAAUCCAGAAAGAGCUCACUUAAUGAGCAGCCAAUGUCCUCGCCUCUCUGGACUGAUGUUUCUUUCUGCCUAUGGUGAUGUCAUCUGCUGCACUCCCUUUUCUGGGGCCUGAGUAGAAAUGGGAGUGAGUCAGAAAAGUUUAAUUGGGUCCCAGAUGUGAUUAACCAAGACUCAUUCUUCUACACUGUGCUGGUGUUUAGCACACCACAAAUUCUAUCACUGCCCAGUGGGUCCUAAAAACCGUUCUGCUUUUAAUGCGCCUUUGCCUGGUUUACUCAAGUUGGAAUUUAAAUCAAAGGGUAACGUCUAUAUUGGGGAUAACUUUGUAGUUUAUCUUAAUAUAAUGGCUAAUAAAUGUCAGGGUUUAAAGGGGCUUUUUAAAAACAAUGACUUUAACAAUGUUAUAUACUUUUAAGGGAAUCUAGCAAGCCAUUGACGGAAUCUAGUACAGUGUAAUUUGAGACAUUAUAAAAAUAGCAGUAAGAAUAGGAGACACAAACUUCCAAGGCAUUGAACCAGAGCCAAAACAGAUACAGAAGUGCUUCCUGCAAUGAAAAUGGAGCCUUUUGUGCCUUCUCAGUCAGCUCCCAAGGCAACAGAUUGACAACAUGGUCUGUAUCGUUACCAGCCUCCUUUAGACUGGAGAGAAAUAGAAGGCAGGCUCCCGGGAUUUUCAUAAAAUCCUAGUGUCGUUCUUGAAACUAAAUCCUGUGCUGAUUUCCCCUGGUUAUGUGAUAUUAGGGUCAUUUUAGUAACUAGAGCAGAGGAAAUAGCAUACGAAGGUGUCUUAGUCUGCUUUCUGUAACUGUAAGGAAAUCACGGCGACUAGGCAAUUUACAGACAAGAGAAGUUGGCUUCAUUCACUGUUCUGAAGACUGGGAAGCCCAAGAGCAUGAUGCUGGUAUCUGGGAAGGAUUUUCAUGUAGCAUGGUGUCAUAUGAAGAGACAGGGCAAGUAUGCUAGUUUGAGUCUCUUUUUUCUUAGAAAGCCAUGAUAACUAGCCUAGGAAAAGAUAACCCCCUUGACCUAAUCAAAUUCUAAUUACCUCCCAAAGACUUUGCCUCCCGGUGUCAUCAACAAGUGAAUUUGACUGUUGAGUUUUCAACACGUUCAGAGGGCACAUUAAAACUACAGCUCUAACCUUCACGUCCCGUGGUGCCAAUGCCUAUGAUAUGACCGACAGCUUUAAUGAUCAUUUGAUCUCAUGGCAUCUUUUGUCCCCUAGUUGUGAAAAACAAGGAUUUAUCCAUGAUUCUGUUAUUUGAUUUCUUUGUUCUUCCAUAAGCAUCUUGUCUCUGCUGCCCAGUCUGUUUCUAUAACUAUAACCAAGUAUCUAGAACUGAAUAAUGUAUAACAAUUAAAGUUUGUUUGGGCCAUAGUUCUGGAGGUGAAGAGCUCCAAGACCAUGGAGCUAGUAUCUAGUGAGGGAUUUUGUGGCCUCCUGACAUGCUGGAGGGCAGCACAAGAAUCUUACUAACUCACUGAAUUCGUUCCACCAACACUUAGUGUCUGAUCACCCUUGACUUGUGGUCAAGUUCUUCAUUUAUUAACUUGGAUGUACCAGUGUUUAGCUUGCCUUUAACAAGAGUCUUAAAGCUUAAUGGGAAUCUCACAACCUCAGUAUCACUUUUGAUAAUUAUUCAAGAAUUGACUAUAUAAUCCCGUUCUUUGUCUAUUAAUCUCGACUUGCUCUUAUCUUUAGAGUUGAGCCUAAUUUCUGUAUCUUCCUUUAAAAAAUACCAUUCCUAUUUACUAUUUGGAAGUGUCAUACAUGCAUGAAAUGAAUUUUGGUUGUAUUUGCUUACUCUGCCUCUUUCAAUGUCUGCCCAUGUUCUCUACCAUUUUUUUUUUUGGUCUUUUUUGUUAUAACCCACUGAAUCCAGGUAGUGACACUUAUACAUACACAGGUGUGGGUAGGGUCAUCCACUGGAGCAUGGCCAACCUACCAUGGGGCCAUACUAAUGUCAAAAAUGAUUUCUUUCUCCUCUAGCAACUAUCUACUGUCAAGAGUUCCUCAGGGUGUGAAGUCUUGUGGGUCAGUCUCUCAUCUGUUCUUGAACGAUGACUGGAUUGUCAUUGUACAGGUCUUGUGCAGUAAGCCAUAGGUGCUGAGACUAAAUAAUUUCAGUGGCCUUGUCAUAUCUAGAAGACACUGUUUCACACCAAUCCUACGUAGUCUUUGACUCUUACAGUUUUUCUUCUCCCUCUUCCAUGAUGUUUCCUAAGCCUUCGGGUAUGAGUGCAAUAUAGAGGUUCUAUUACAUUUGAGUGGUCCUCAUAUCCUGUUUCAAUACUUCAGUGCAAUAGUUCUGUGUUGUGUGGCUUCUCCUGGGGAUACAUGAGCUAAAAAACUACUCACCCCAGUUGAUUCCAUCUACAUCUACAUCUAGUCAAACUAAAGAAACUAUUCCACAGAUGUCUAGUUCACGAAACUAAUGAGUUCAUGGGGGUUGUUUAAGGAGUAUGGUGGAAGGUUACUUCCACGGGUACCUCAAAGCAGCUGUGUCAUUGAACAUUCCUUCACAGCAUCAGUGGCAACUCGUGAACUCUGCAUCCCUGGAGUUCUCCAUAGACUCUUUAUGACUUACAGAGCUUGGGAGAGUAGUUGUGAGCAUCUUGUCAUUUUCUGAGCUUUCUGAGCCUCCUAAGCUUUAUAAACUUUCUGAGCAAGUCUUGGGAGCCUCUCCCUCUCCACGAAGGAAUGUUUCAGUUCAGGGGAGACAGCCACACAAUAUCUUAAAUAGUCUUUCUUACCAUUUUAACAAGUGUCAGAGUAUUUUUAACAUUGAAAGUUUUCAUGGCUUGGAUAUAAUCCUUCUCAGUAGUGGAUUCCUAGGCCCCUCACUGUGAACCCCAAAUAUGCAAUGUGAUGCCUUUCUCAUAAUGGAUUGGGGAUCUAUUGAUAAGUUCCAAACCCGAUGGAAUCUAUUGCUCUGUAAAAAUAUCAGUCGAGGAACACAGCGAGGGAUUCUUAAGACUUUUUCCUCCUUAUUAGCACAUGCUCAUUUGUUAAGAAUUAAGACUUUCAUGGUAUCCUCAUGUCUGUAUAUCAUCCUUCUUAGUCUUAUACAUCUCCAUCACCAUCAUCUCCAAGUUCUUGGUCUCCAUUCUCUUCCAAAAUAAACCAUGACUUCUGUAUUCAAGUCAUUAUUUUUUUCUUAAAGUUUAGAACAUGCUUAUGAGAUAAACAUGCAAUGUCUGUCUUUAAAAAGACAAAUAAUGCCAGUUAUGGGUCAAGGCCGGUUCAUGGGCUGCAGAGUAAGUUCAAGGCUAACUUGGGAAAUUUGGUGAGACCUUGUCUCAGUGGCAGACUGAUUUACUAUACAAGCUGAUCCGAAUUCAAGUGCCAGCAUUAACAACAAGAGAAUAUAUAUGAAAGACAUCCCUAAAAGACUAAAGGUAUCAUACCCACAAGUUUGACAUUAUAGUCUUUGUUUGUUUGUGGGGGCUAAGGAUAAUUGCUUAAAAGGACAGCAGGGUGAGUUGAAGAGAUGGUUUAGUGGUUAAGAACCCUUACUGUUCUUGUGGAGGAUCACAUUUGGGUUCCCAGUACCCAUGUGGCAGCUCACAGCCACUUAUAACUCAAGUUUCAGGGGUUCUGGCACUUCUGUUAGCUUUGUGGCCAAUACACACACACACACACACACACACACACACACACACACGCUGCAUACACUCACACAUACAUGUAAAACGAGAAUAAAAAACUUUAAAGAGGGCAGAUGGAAUCAUGGCCAAGAAGAAGGACUGUGGGCCUUUCCAAAGCCAAUAUCUAUUUUCAGAAGGGAACAGAGCACUCACAAAAACUAUGUCAUUUGAAUGAUGCUGCAUGACGCCCCCAAUGAGUCAGACACUUGGAGCAUCUCUGCUAAAUGUCACCUCAGAGAUGUAACGUUCUCACAGAUCUAUUUCUUUGUCCCAUCUAGACAAUCAGUAAAAUUUAAUUAUUUUUAGAAAAGAAGCAAAGAUGUGAGGGUUGAGAGGUGGCUUAGAGGCUAAGAAUACUUUCUGCUCUUGAAAAGGACUAGAAAUUGCUUCUAGACACCUAUAACAAGGAGUUCACAACCUCCUGUGAUGCCAAAUUUAAGGAAUCUGAUGCUUAUGGCCUCUGAAGGCACUCAUAUGCAGCCCCACAUAACUACAUCACACACACACACACACACACACACACACACACACACACAUAUAUAUAGUUUACAUAUACAUAUAUAUGUAAAAAUAAUAAAAAAAAUUUAAAAAGAAGUCACAAAAGAAAUAAUCAAGAGGGCCAUGUAUUAGAGACUAUUCUUGGCUCGAAAAUGUACAUUAUUCCAUGUCCCAUUCUUUCUCUCUCUCUCUGGUAUGUAAGUGUGUUCACAUGUGGGUUCACAGGUAAGUUCAGGUGCUCAUAUAUGUAUGCCUGUGAAGGCCAUGUCUCAAAAAAUACAACACAAUACAUUGCACAACACAAUACAUUGCGGGUAGCAGAAUAUGCUGUUUUGAUUUGCAUAUUUGAGUUAUUACAAAGCUGUCAAGCUUUCAUCAUGUCUAGAGACCAGUGCAGACCUAGGAGAGGGUGAUAGCAGAGAAUUGAGGAGCAGAGUCCAUAAGGGAAGAAGAGGGAGCUGGUGAAAGGUUUUGGUCAAGUGAAGUAUUUGCCAUGCCAACAUAAGGACCCGAGGAGAAUCUCUGAGAAAACACAGGGAAAUAACAAAACAACAGAAUCCUGUGCAUGGUAGCCCAUGACUGCGGAGACAGUGUGAGAGAGGUGGAGACAGAGGCAUCCCAGAGGUUCAUCUGCCAGCCAGGAUAGCCAAAUUGGUGAGCUCUGGGGUCAGUGAAAGACCCUGUCUCAAAGUAGAAGGUGGAGAGCGAUUGAGGAAGACACUCUGACUUCUGGCCUUCACAGGUAAGCAUAUGUGAGUAUCUGAACUCACAUGCGAACCCACAUAUGAACACACACACACACACACACACACACACACAUAUCAAACAAGCAAACAGACCAAACAAGAAAGAAUGUGAUAUAGUAUAAUGUACAUUUACCAUUUACCUCCUGUAAUGUUUAGGGUCAUUCCAAAGAAGUCGGCUUUGGAAGCAGAGGAAAUGCCUCAGGUUUCAGACCCUUGGUCUCAGCAUCCUCCAAGUAACAAUCUCACCAUUGUUAUUGGCCCCUCCUCGGCUGCCAUCAGAUUGCAGCUGCUUUGGCUUUCCCAUAUGGAAAGAAGGCCAGAGGCUCUUCAGGAAUCCCCCCAGGCCUUCAGCAUCACUCUGUGACAGCUGAGUCAUCCAGCCUCAUGGACCAAGAAGCUAACAGAUUCUCAGCUUCUCCAGUGUGAAGACAUCCACUGUUGAACUACCCAACCUGCAUCGUGUAAGUCAAUCUAAUAGUCCCUAUUAGGAAUGCUCAGAACCAUCUCUCUCACUAUGUCCUGUCUGGACACUUCAGUGAGGAGGGAUGGAAGGCACCCAAGUCCGUCAUUUCAUGAUUAAGCCACUAGCUAUAUUUUUAGAUUUAUUCUUGAGCGUGAUGAUAAAUGUCUUUAUUUAUUAAAGCAGUUUAAAUCAGGUCUAUUUAUUACGUUCGUGUUGCCAAAGCCAUCGUAACUAAUUCACAGGGAUGAAAAGUGGAUCAUGCAAUUGCAGAAAUGUUGGUUUAUCAGAUUUUAUAACCAGGCCACACCUCUUCCAUUGAGCUGUGUCAUCCUUUGAAUGAAACAUGUCUCCCACAGGGUAGUGGCUAAUGAAUUUGAAUACUCAGAGCUCAGGUGACGGUGCUGUUUGUGAAGGUUGUGGGCUCUCACUAGAGGAAGUGGGUCACUGAGGGUUUUAGGUUUUAUAACUCAAACUUUUCCUCUCUGUUCUCUGCUCCUUGUCUGUCUUAGCCUUGAAUGCCAGUUUGAAACAACUCAGGAAGGUCUGGCCUGUGGGCAUGUCUGUGAGAGACUGCCUUGUUCAUUUAUUGAUGGAGAAGGCCCAGCCCACUGUGGGCAGCACCAUUCCCUGAGCUGUAUAAGAAAGUUAACUAAAUAUGAGCCUUGAAUGAGUCAAUAAGGAGCAUCCUCUAUGGUUUUGAUGUACUGCUUUGCAGCGAAGUAAGUUCUUUGGUUGGAGAUAAUGUUAUGUGGAGAAGUGUGCAGUUAGUUCUGCCUUGAAGUUCCUAUUUGACUUCCUCCCCUGACUUCCUUCGAUGAUGGAGUAUAACCUAGAAGCGGAAACAAAUCUUUUCUCCCCCAAUUUUUCGGGGGCAUGGUAUCUGUUACACCAACAGAAAGAAACUAGAAUAUUGGCUGGCCACAGUCUUCCAUGGCUCUUCGAUGACUGUCCACCAUGAUGAACUCUACUCCUGCUUUAGUUAGGGUUUUACUGCUGUGCACGGACACCAUGACCAAGGCAACUCUUCUAAAGGACAACAUUUAAUUGGAGCUGGCUUAUAGGUUCAGAGAUUUAGUCCAGUAUCAUCGAGGUGGGAACAUGGCAGCCUAGAUCUAAUGCAGGAGGAGCUGAGAGUUCUACACCUUCAUCUAAAGGCUGCUUCCAGACAGCUAGGAUGAAGUUCUUAAAGCCCACACCCACAGUGCCAUACCUACUCCAAAAUGGUCACACCUACUUGAACAGGGCCACACCUUCUAAUAGUGCCACUUCCUGGGCCAAGCAUAUACAAAUCGUUACAAAUCCCUAGAACUUUAAGGUGAAAUAAACCCUCUUUUCCUUUCUUCAGUAGCUUUCUGUGUCAUAGCAAUGAGGAAUUUUCAAGAAAAAUUAAUGAAACUGGAGGUCAUUUUGGGAGGUGAACUAAUGACUCAAACACAUGUUCCGUGUGACCUCUCAUAUGUGGUGAUCUGUAGUUAAAUGCUCACAUCCACAUGUGCAUACAUGACAUGCGAGCAGAAAGAGAUAAGCAGAGCCAGGAAAAAGAGAGGUCUAGGGUGAGCAAGGAAAGAUAGUGGAGGGAGGGAGAUGAACCAGGAACAUGAUAUGUAUAUAUGAAGGUGUCAUAAGGAAACCAUCCAUUAGUCCACCCAUUUCAAAAGGAAAAUUAAACAAAAGCUCUCUAUAAGGAUCUUCAGAGGGUGGAUGGAGGUUGGAGGAAGCUCUCUCUGUGUGUGUGUGUGUGUGUGUGUGUGUGUGUGUGCAUGUGCAUGUAUGUGUGUGUUUGUGUGUAUGUGUGUGUGUGUGUGUGUGUGUGUGUGUGUACCACAUGAGUACCACAUACGGGUGGGUGCACAUAGAGGCCAGAAAAGGGCACUGAAUCCCCUAGGUCAGCAGAUAUGGGAGCCAGGGUCCUAACCUGAAUCCUCUGGAAGAGCAGCCAACAAAUGCUCUUAGUCUUUGAGUCUUCUCAGUCCCUAAAAGUACUUCUUGUCGAAAAGUCUAUUCAGAAAGCCUGUUCCAUUUGCUGUCAACCCUGUAUACAUGACCACUCCGAGGACAUGGCUGUUUCAUUAAACCAACAGUGUAAACUAGUCAUAUCACCUAAAUGAUGCGACCUUGAAAACCGCUUGGGUUAAUUGCUAUUAAUCUGAGAGCUUUGUGGAAGUGAGAAUUAAGCUCUCUUCCAUUAUAGCUUGUGUCCCCACGGAGAAGGGAAGAUGCUGAGAAGCGCAGAAAGAGAAGACAUCAGGCUCCAAGCCAAAGAAGUUCGUUAUGACUUUCCAACACUAGAAGUUAGAAAAGUUAAUGAGAUAUUUUCCCCAGGGUUAUCAGAGGGAGCGUUGCCCUCUAGAGGCCUUGAUCUUGGGCUUCUAGCCUUUAUGAGUAUGAGACACAACAUGUUUCUGUUGUUUUCAAGUCACCUGGUUGAUGGGACUCUAUUACAUCUCUAGGAAACCAGCAAACAUGGUGAUCUGAGUAGACAGAACUGGAGUGUGUUGGUUACCUUUCUCAUUGUUGUGACAAAAUGCUUCCCCCACCCCUACCCCCAAAGCAAUGUAAGGAAAGAGGGUUUUUACUGGACCACAGUUUGAGGCUAUGCUCCAUCCUUGUCUGGGAGCCAUGGCAACAGGAGCCUGAGGCAGCUGGUUCCAUUGCAUUCACAGUUAGGGCCCGGAGAGGUAAACACUGGUACCCAACUCCCUUUCUCCUUUCAUCACUUUGAUUCAUUCUGAGAUAAUCUUAGCCCACAGGAUAGCUGCACCCACAUUCAGGGAGGGUCUAUCCUUUCAAGCAAAGUUUCUUGGUAAACAUUCUCAUGGACACACUCAGAUAUGUGUCUCCUAGGUGGCUCCAAAUCCAGUUGAAGUGACAAUGGAGAUUAGCCAUGAUGAGUAGAAUGAAGAUUAGCUCUGAGGGAGUUGGCUGGGGAGGAAUAAUUGAAGCCAUAGCAAAACCCCAAGUAACAAUAAACCAUCAACAAAUAAAUCUGUCAUCAUUUCAGGGGAGAGGAAAAACAGAGAAAGUUCUGUGGAGGCACAAAGAGUGGAAGAUGGAGGAUUUAACAAUAAAGAGAUCUCUGGGUGGGGUUGGGGGCAGGGGUCCCUGGAGAGAUGGUUCAGCAGUUAAAGGCACUGACUGCUCUUCUAGAGGUCUUGAGUUCAAUUUCCAACAACCACAUGGUAGCUUAUAACCAUCUGUAAUGGGAUUUAAUGCCCUUUUCUGGUGUGUCUGAAGAUAGCUUCAGUGUACUCAUAUACAUUAAAUAAAUAGACCUUAAAAAAAACCAAAACUCCUAGCAGAGCCAUUCUGGGGGAGCAUUCAAAAACUGGGAUUACCUGACAAUGACCUUAGGGCCAGGCCCCUCCUCCCUUAAAUCACCACAGCUACUUACCAUGCAGCUUUCAUUAAGUUGAAAAAUACAUCCUGAGCUUAGUUUGCCUGUGAGGCUCAAACCGGUUUAUAUUUUGCACCGAGCUCUCUUCCUUAAUUAAGGGUAUGAAAGCCAAACAUUUCUUACAAUAGAAUCAAAAGAGAGAGGAAGUGUUUUACAGCUUCUGAGGGUGAGGAAUAGAUCUGUCGAUUAAAGAAAAUGCAAAGUAGAGAAUAAAUGGGCUGAGAUUUCCUUCCCCAAACAGAGCUCUGAAAUAGACACAAGUAAUCAGCAAGUGACUUUCCUUUAUAAUAAUAGGGAGGACGGACUGAGUGGUGCUAUGUGCUUUUUUCUCCUACAUAUUACUUCUACCUACGUAAUAACAACAAUACACCCUCAACAGCUAAAUCCACCUGAUCAUUUGGGGGAGAGGAAUAACAGAAAAUUCUGUGGAGGCACGAAGGAUAAGCUAAUAGAAUAUGAGGAAUUUAAUAAUUAGGAGGGCACUUUUUGUUUGUUUGUUUGUUUGUUUUUAUGUAUUCCUGUUAACAAUCUGUGAUGGCUCAUCUCAUCUCAAGUUUCAACUUGGUUGGACUAAGAGGCUCCUAGGAGAUUUAUAAAGCAUAUUUAUGGGUGUGUCUAAGAAAGUGUUUCUGCUGCUGAACUUGGGGUCACAAUCUGUACCCUAACAAGUAAUUUUGGUCAUUCACCCUCCAGAGACUGGAUAAAACAGCCAAACUAAUGGUAAAAAAAAAAAAGCAAGAAAAGGAAAGUUGUUCAAUGUGGUGACAUUGGGAAGAGGGCUUACAAAAACAAAACAAAACCAAACAAAACAAAACAAUCCACACUCCCUACACAACAAAGAAACCAAAACA
Non-coding RNA from Rattus norvegicus (Norway rat), 13874 nucleotides. Lineage: Eukaryota; Metazoa; Chordata; Mammalia; Rodentia; Muridae. The record is from RefSeq and is a predicted model, not a curated record.